GCUGGAGAGAGCUCAAUGGUUAAGAGCACUUGCUGCUCUUCCAGAGGACCUGGGUUCAAUUCCCAGCACCUACA
Molecule: non-coding RNA, 74 nt
Organism: Neotoma lepida (desert woodrat)
Lineage: Eukaryota; Metazoa; Chordata; Mammalia; Rodentia; Cricetidae
Source: Rfam